Molecule: long non-coding RNA, 223 nt
Filed under: Parus major (Great Tit)
Lineage: Eukaryota; Metazoa; Chordata; Aves; Passeriformes; Paridae
Description: lncRNA (ENSPMJG00000006275.1)
Source: RNAcentral
UGAACAUAACUUUUCAGAGCACUUGUGAUUUUCCUCUGUUACAGGGCUGCUGAAUUGUGGUAUGAGGUCAGGCCCGUGGUCACUCUCUUCUGACACCAGCAAGGUCAUUUUCAUGCCCAGUGACCCCACCUUUGCUGGCUCAAGCACAAACACCCUUUCUGAAGAACGAUACCAAAGUCAGCCUCUGUUUCCUCAGUUUCUUCCUGUUCUACCUUUGGCAUCC